GAGCGGCUAUAGCAAAUAAAUAGAGAGAGAAAAAGUAACAGUAAGGAAAUAGAGAUAAAGGAGGAAUUUUGAAGAAUAAGAAAGGAACAAUCCAGUGAACUCAUCCCUUUUCUAGAAUUAUUUUCUUUUAGCAAAUGUAAUAUAAAUAAGUCCAAUUUUUUUCCUUGAAUCAGUGUCCCAUUGUUAUUGUCAAAACUCAUUGCCACAUUCUCAUUUGUUUCAUACGCUGUCUGUUAAUAUUGCUUGUGUUGUUCUUCAUUUUAUCAUUAUACAUACUUAUUAACCAUGACAUGUACCACAAAUUAAUCCUAAAAGAAUUGGGGUCCUAGACUCAUUAGACUUGCAUCACUCUUUGAAAUAUUUUUGGUGUAGCAUAGACACCAUAAUCGUGUUUCGUUGUCCCUGGUGACUCUAACUUUGUUGCGGCAACGAUUCGAUUCAUCAUAGUGUUGCCCGCAUCCCAUGGCUGUGAGCAGUAGCCACCGGAAAGCUUUCCACCUUCUCCGGCGCCAGCAAGAGCGUGGUGGGAACCUGGACCUUCGAUCCUAGAUGGGGAAGACGACCCCAUCCUUUUUUUUUUAUUAUAUCUCUAUUUUUUUCCUUUUGUUAUUUUAAUUUAUUUUAUUUCUAUUCCUUUUUAUUUUAUUUUAUUUAUCUUGUAUAUGCUUUAUUGUUUAUUGCUGAUGGAGAAUAUGGGUCUGGGACCUUGCCACCAUUGUUCAG
This 723-nucleotide long non-coding RNA is filed under the name Lupinus angustifolius (narrow-leaved blue lupine). RNAcentral describes it as "long non-coding RNA (LANG_LNC000310)". Lineage: Eukaryota; Viridiplantae; Streptophyta; Magnoliopsida; Fabales; Fabaceae. The record is from RNAcentral.